AGCCUUCCGUAUCCAUGCUGAGAUUUCGUCACCGAUCAACCCGCUGGCAUUGACUGAUGCAACUUCACAAAUAAGUGAGGUG
This 82-nucleotide microRNA precursor is filed under the name Trichobilharzia regenti. RNAcentral describes it as "mir-3492 microRNA precursor family". It matches the Rfam family "mir-3492 microRNA precursor family". The record is from Rfam by way of RNAcentral. Lineage: Eukaryota; Metazoa; Platyhelminthes; Trematoda; Strigeidida; Schistosomatidae.